This is a long non-coding RNA of Triticum dicoccoides, 740 nucleotides long. RefSeq lists it as uncharacterized. The transcript is spliced from 2 exons. NCBI's taxonomy places the organism in Eukaryota, Viridiplantae, Streptophyta, Magnoliopsida, Poales, Poaceae. The record is from RefSeq and is a predicted model, not a curated record.
CAAACCUGCCCCGCCGCAAUCGGCGACGCCGCCCCCUCGCUGCCCCAACCGGCGCCGCCGGUGAACUCCCUCGCGGCCACCUCCCCUCCUCCCCAACGGCGGCGCGAACCCCUCCUCUUCUCCCCAAUGGCGGCCCCCUCUGUCGCCUGGUGGAGGCAAGAUUUGGGCCGGCGCCUGGCCACCGCGCGCCUUCGCCCGGCCCUGCCACCUCAGCCUCCUCCCGGUGGUGCUCCUCCGCCGACGAGCGCCCUGGAUCCGGUGACGAGCUCGUGAACCACACACUGUUGUCGGCACUGCGGAGAGGGGUCACCGCCUCCCCGAGCUUCUCUCUCCCCUCACCUCAUCCCCCUAUCCUCAACAGAGGAGCAACGAUAUAGAGGGAUCGGCGUUGAACAAAUCCUGCUGUAUGCCAAGUUCAACCAGAGCGACUACUGCAGUGCGCCCUACUUAACAAGGGCGUUUAAAAUCAGAUGAUGCCAUAUAGUAAAUGCUUUCUUUGCUGUUAUACUCCAUUGGUACUAGCUUGAAUCUGAACAAUUUCAUACAAAUGGUCAUUUUGCAAGUUACUGAGCAUGUCGUUCUCUUCUUAUGCCCAUGAUGCAACCCCUGUAUUUUUUGGAUGAGUUUGGUGAUGUAGCUGCCUUUGGAUGCAGCAACACAACCUAUGGGUACAGUAGGUGAUGCAGCUAUGGAUAUUGUGCGUGAUACUGCUACUAUGUGCAAUAAGGGAUUUGCUUUGA